This 332-nucleotide unclassified non-coding RNA is filed under the name soil metagenome. RNAcentral describes it as "partial contains 5.8S ribosomal RNA, internal transcribed spacer 2, and large subunit ribosomal RNA". The stretch from base 1 to 120 matches the Rfam family "5.8S ribosomal RNA", at positions 35 to 154 of the family's 154-position model. The record is from RNAcentral.
GAUGAAGAACGUAGCGAUAUGCGAUAAGUAGUGUGAAUUGCAGAAUUCAGUGAAUCAUCGAAUCUUUGAACGCACAUUGCGCCCUUUGGUAUUCCUUAGGGCAUGCCUGUUCGAGCGUCAUUUAAACCUUCAAGCUAAGCUUGGUGUUGGGUGACUGUCCGCUUCACGGCGGACUCGCCUCAAAAUUAUUGGCGGCCGGUACAUUGGCUUCGAGCGCAGCAGAAACGCGAACUCGGGCCCGUCGUAUUGGCUCCCAGAAGCUAUCUUCACAAUUUUGACCUCGGAUCAGGUAGGGAUACCCGCUGAACUUAAGCAUAUCAAUAAGCGGAGGA